ACGGAGGGUCCGAGCGUUAUCCGGAAUCAUUGGGUUUAAAGGGUCCGUAGGCGGGUAGUUAAGUCAGUGGUGAAAGUCUGCAGCUCAACUGUAGAAUUGCCAUUGAUACUGAUUAUCUUGAAUUAAUGUGAAGUGGUUAGAAUAAGUAGUGUAGCGGUGAAAUGCAUAGAUAUUACUUAGAAUACCAAUUGCGAAGGCAGAUCACUAACAUUAUAUUGACGCUGAUGGACGAAAGCGUGGGGAGCGAACAGG
Molecule: ribosomal RNA, 252 nt
Filed under: uncultured bacterium
Lineage: Bacteria
Description: partial 16S ribosomal RNA
Rfam family: Bacterial small subunit ribosomal RNA
Source: RNAcentral